CAUUUUGCAAAGAACAUUCAAGAGUCUGAAAAAAUUCCAUGAGCAAAGACAAUGUUGUCUCAAGUGACACUUCUGAUUAGUUCAAGUAAGAAUCGAAUGGCUUGAUAGCUCACAGGAGACAGGAACUCCUUGACUGUUUACACCACUAUAGAAGAGAGGAAUAAGAAUGACCCUAAACAGCUCUAUAUUAAAUUAGGGGGGAAAGACAUGAAUAGCAGUAGAGUGUCACCAUAUCUUAAUGUUUUCAUGAAUUUUUCAAGGGCAAUAUAAAAGCAUUUAAUCUGAAACACACAUGUAAGUUAUCCCUUUAUUGCCAUUGUGUUUGAAAGAUAUUAGAAUCCCCAAACAGGUGCAGCAUUAGAACAUCCUCACAUUGAUUUAUUCAUGUGAGUACCUUUCAAUUGUCUUCUCCCUGAUCAGUGUUUGUUAAUCAUUUGCUUAGACUUAAGGUUAAUAUUUUUUUGAAAAUGGAGAAUUUUAUGCAAGUGGAUCUUACAGAAAGUCCAAAUUCCUUUUGCCUGCACAAUCCUGAAAAUAUACAGAUACAUAUUUUUUAAAGUUAAAUACCAUGAAAUGAUCAAAUUUGGUUCUGAAAAAAGAAAAGAUGAGAAAUGUAGCACUUUCCUUUCUUUUCAAAAGUGGGGGAUUAUGCGUAUGGAAAAUGGCACACUAUCAAAUUUUGUUGACAGUUUUUUCCUCUCUUUUUCUAGAUCUUGAUUAUAAGGGAUAUCUUCAAAGAGAAAAGAGAAUGAAGGACAUAUUUGAAAAGUGACAUACCACCCGUUAUGCUCAGUUUUUUGCUGAAUUUAGACACACCAAGCUCAAAAGGUUGCCCAUCACUGUCUUAGAUAGUCUUCCAGGGAGCUUUGCUGGAGACUACAGCUUGGAUUAUGGUCUCUUAACUCAGCUACUACUUGGACUCUGACUCUUGGAUUACUUUGUUAGGUGAGUAAAAGGCUGCCCUCUUUCCUAGCUUCUGGAGAGAGUAGCUUCCAUCUUGGAGGAGGCAGGUGGUUACUCACUACCAACCUUCCUUGUUGAGAGCUAAUUAAUCUCUGCCUGGAUUAAGAAGACCUGGAGCAAAACAUUUAGGUUGUUAGGACAGAUAACUUCUCUACCCCCCUCAUAUUUCUCUUCUUUAUUGUUUCCUAUCUAUUUAUAAAUAUUUGUAAAUAAAUUUCUGACUCAAAAUAUAAAUAUUGGUGAU
This 1207-nucleotide long non-coding RNA is filed under the name Monodelphis domestica (gray short-tailed opossum). RNAcentral's name for it is "lncRNA (ENSMODG00000043574.1)". The record is from RNAcentral. Lineage: Eukaryota; Metazoa; Chordata; Mammalia; Didelphimorphia; Didelphidae.